RNAcentral lists this ribosomal RNA (526 nucleotides) under Mucor circinelloides. RNAcentral describes it as "eukaryotic LSU rRNA". The stretch from base 197 to 349 matches the Rfam family "5.8S ribosomal RNA". The record is from RNAcentral. Lineage: Eukaryota; Fungi; Mucoromycota; Mucoromycetes; Mucorales; Mucoraceae.
UUUGGCUUGUCCAUCAUUAUCUAUUUACUGUGAAACGUAUUAUUACUUGACGCCUGAGGGAUGUUCCAUUGCUAUAAGGAUAGGCAGCGGAAAUGUUAACCGAGUCAUAAUCAAGCUUAGGCUUGGUAUCCUAUUAUUAUUUACCAAAAGAAUUCAGAAUUAAUAUUGUAACAUAGACGUAAAAAAUCUAUAAAACAACUUUUAACAACGGAUCUCUUGGUUCUCGCAUCGAUGAAGAACGUAGCAAAGUGCGAUAACUAGUGUGAAUUGCAUAUUCAGUGAAUCAUCGAGUCUUUGAACGCAACUUGCGCUCAUUGGUAUUCCAAUGAGCACGCCUGUUUCAGUAUCAAAACAAACCCUCUAUCCAACUUUUGUUGAAUAGGAUGACUGAGAGUCUCCUGAUCGUCAGAUCUCGAACCUCUUGAAAUGUACAAAGGCCUGAUCUUGUUUGAAUGCCUGAACUUUUUUUUAAUAUAAAGAGAAGCUCUUGCGGUAAACUGUGCUGGGGCCUCCCAAAUAACACUUU